AAGGCCAUAGCUUAAUCGGUAAAGCGAGCUGCUCAUAAUAGCUCAAAUGAGUGUUCGAUUCAUUCUGGCCUUA
This is a non-coding RNA of Jatropha curcas, 73 nucleotides long. The record is from Rfam. NCBI's taxonomy places the organism in Eukaryota, Viridiplantae, Streptophyta, Magnoliopsida, Malpighiales, Euphorbiaceae.